RNAcentral lists this ribosomal RNA (113 nucleotides) under Leersia perrieri. The record is from RNAcentral. Lineage: Eukaryota; Viridiplantae; Streptophyta; Magnoliopsida; Poales; Poaceae.
GGAUGCGAUCAUACCAGCACUAAAGCAUCGGAUCCCAUCAGAACUCCGAAGUUAAGGGUGCUUGGGCGAGAGUAGUACUAGGAUGGGUGACCUCCGCCCUCCUUUCCCUGCCC